Molecule: ribosomal RNA, 490 nt
Filed under: uncultured bacterium
Lineage: Bacteria
Description: partial 16S ribosomal RNA
Rfam family: Bacterial small subunit ribosomal RNA
Source: RNAcentral
AUUGAACGCUGGCGGCAGGCCUAACACAUGCAAGUCGAACGGUAACAGGAAACAGCUUGCUGUUUCGCUGACGAGUGGCGGACGGGUGAGUAAUGUCUGGGAAACUGCCUGAUGGGGGGGGAUAACUACUGGAAACGGUAGCUAAUACCGCAUAACGUCGCAAGACCAAAGAGGGGGACCUUCGGGCCUCUUGCCAUCGGAUGUGCCCAGAUGGGAUUAGCUAGUAGGUGGGGUAACGGCUCACCUAGGCGACGAUCCCUAGCUGGUCUGAGAGGAUGACCAGCCACACUGGAACUGAGACACGGUCCAGACUCCUACGGGAGGCAGCAGUGGGGAAUAUUGCACAAUGGGCGCAAGCCUGAUGCAGCCAUGCCGCGUGUAUGAAGAAGGCCUUCGGGUUGUAAAGUACUUUCAGCGGGGAUGAAGGGAGUAAAGUUAAUACCUUUGCUCAUUGACGUUACCCGCAGAAGAAGCACCGGCUAACUCCGUG